RNAcentral lists this unclassified non-coding RNA (331 nucleotides) under Hevea brasiliensis (rubber tree). The record is from RNAcentral. Lineage: Eukaryota; Viridiplantae; Streptophyta; Magnoliopsida; Malpighiales; Euphorbiaceae.
GCUGCAUUUACUAUCCUACAGAAAUUACUGCAAUAUAUUAUGAAGCUGCUUUUAUUUUGUCCUUCAUCCAUUCCAGUGUGAGAGAGAAUCAGUAUCUGAGUGCAAUUCUCCCAGUUCUCAUGCCAUGAAGGUAGUUCCAUGAUCUUCCAUGGACUAUUUUUUUCCCCGCCCAUACAUCUUCAUGAAUCAUCUGGAGUUCAGAUCAAACUCCCCAACUUCUCGCCAUUCACCCAGGGCACCAGUGUCCCCAUUCUCAUUCUCCUCAUCGUUCAAGAAAUCUUCAGAUGGUUCCUUCUCAUCUUUCUGUGCAUUGUUUCCCCAGCCAUUCAUC